RNAcentral lists this ribosomal RNA (467 nucleotides) under uncultured bacterium. RNAcentral describes it as "partial 16S ribosomal RNA". It matches the Rfam family "Bacterial small subunit ribosomal RNA", at positions 28 to 507 of the family's 1533-position model. The record is from RNAcentral.
GACGAACGCUGGCGGCGUGCUUAACACAUGCAAGUCGAACGGAAAGGCCCUGCUUUUGUGGGGUGCUCGAGUGGCGAACGGGUGAGUAACACGUGAGUAACCUGCCCUUGACUUUGGGAUAACUUCAGGAAACUGGGGCUAAUACCGGAUAGGAGCUCCUGCUGCAUGGUGGGGGUUGGAAAGUUUCGGCGGUUGGGGAUGGACUCGCGGCUUAUCAGCUUGUUGGUGGGGUAGUGGCUUACCAAGGCUUUGACGGGUAGCCGGCCUGAGAGGGUGACCGGCCACAUGGGGACUGGGAAACGGCCCGGACUCCUCGGGAGGCAGCAGUGGGGAAUAUUGCACAAUGGGCGGAAGCCUGAUGCAGCAACGCCGCGUGCGGGAUGACGGCCUUCGGGUUGUAAACCGCUUUCGCCUGUGACGAAGCGUGAGUGACGGUAAUGGGUAAAGAAGCACCGGCUAACUACGUG